Molecule: long non-coding RNA, 311 nt
Filed under: Homo sapiens (human)
Lineage: Eukaryota; Metazoa; Chordata; Mammalia; Primates; Hominidae
Description: non-protein coding lnc-FLG2-1:1
Source: RNAcentral
CAUUUCUUCUUUCUAGGUUCACAUUUAUUGCCAAAAGAUGUCUACUCUCCUGGAAAACAUCUUUGCCAUAAUUAAUCUUUUCAAGCAAUAUUCAAAAAAAGAUAAAAACACUGACACAUUGAGUAAAAAAGAGCUGAAGGAACUUCUGGAAAAGGAAUUUCGGCAAAUCCUGAAAAUCCAGAUGACCCAGAUAUGGUUGAUGUCUUCAUGGAUCACUUGGAUAUAGACCACAACAAGAAAAUUGACUUCACUGAGUUUCUUCUGAUGGUAUUCAAGUUGGCUCAAGCAUAUUAUGAGUCUACCAGAAAAGA